CCCAGGUCAGCCAUCAAGCAAUCUGAGGCUUGAGUGAAAGCACAGGAAGCUAGCCAGGACCCCUGACCGCCAUUGGGUGUACCCUUCCCAGCUGGCGCCUGCUCAGAAUAUAAAACAGCUAGGAAACAAAAUGACGAAACAACAGAGCUGAUCACACAGUAAGCAAUCAGACAUAGAGAUUUUUAAAGCCCUAACUUUGGAGGUUGCUUUCAAACACAGACCAAUCCCAGAGGUGAUACCAAAGCCAGAAUUGCCAAAAAAAGUCAGCGGUCUUACUGCUUCAAGGCAAGUCAAGGUAUUUUGUUGUGUGUCAUGUUCUUGCUUCUGU
Molecule: long non-coding RNA, 328 nt
Filed under: Fukomys damarensis (Damara mole-rat)
Lineage: Eukaryota; Metazoa; Chordata; Mammalia; Rodentia; Bathyergidae
Description: lncRNA (ENSFDAG00000029775.1)
Source: RNAcentral